Molecule: long non-coding RNA, 262 nt
Organism: Varroa destructor (honeybee mite)
Lineage: Eukaryota; Metazoa; Arthropoda; Arachnida; Mesostigmata; Varroidae
Source: RefSeq, a predicted model, not a curated record
ACGGCACGAUAUGGACAUCGACGAUUGGUGACGCGAGAUUGAUGAACCAGUUAGGCAGAAAGGGCGUAAUCCGCAAAAAGAUAAUGUUUGGUAUAAGUGUGAGAGCGUCCGAGAUGAGACUGUACGAUGGAGGAUAUUGCGAUGCUACUACAAACGUCUUGCCAGCAAAAUGAAACAGGUAUCCAAGCCAAUAUUAGUCGACUACCAACGCUGUACGAGAUCAGGUAACUGAGAGAGGCGCCAAUGGCCGAGCAGAGACAAA